RNAcentral lists this ribosomal RNA (512 nucleotides) under uncultured bacterium. RNAcentral describes it as "partial 16S ribosomal RNA". It matches the Rfam family "Bacterial small subunit ribosomal RNA", at positions 28 to 523 of the family's 1533-position model. The record is from RNAcentral.
GACGAACGCUGGCGGCGUGCCUAAUACAUGCAAGUCGAGCGGAACUGGGGGAGCUUGCUCCUUCCAGUUUAGCGGCGGACGGGUGAGUAACACGUGGACAACCUGCCCUGCAGAUCGGGAUAACUCCGGGAAACCGGUGCUAACACAGAAUAGUUUGGCGCCUCUCCUGAGGCGCCACGGAAAGACGGUUUCGGCUGUCACUUCAGGAUGGGCCUGCGGCGCAUUAGCUAGUUGGUGGGGUAACGGCCCACCAAGGCGACGAUGCGUAGCCGACCUGAGAGGGUGACCAGCCACACUGGGACUGAGACACGGCCCAGACUCCUACGGGAGGCAGCAGUAGGGAAUCUUCCGCAAUGGACGCAAGUCUGACGGAGCAACGCCGCGUGAGUGACGAAGGUUUUCGGAUCGUAAAACUCUGUUGUGAGGGAAGAACACGUACCAACUAACUAUUGGUACCUUGACGGUACCUCACCAGAAAGCCACGGCUAACUACGUGCCAGCAGCCGCCGCGG